GUGAAUACCUGACCAACGUUGCUUCGGCGGUGCGCCCCCCCGGGGGUAGCCGCCGGAGACCACAUUGAACCUCUUGUCUUUAGUGUUGUCUGAGCUUGAUAGCAAACCUAUUAAAACUUUCAACAAUGGAUCUCUUGGUUCCGGCAUCGAUGAAGAACGCAGCGAACUGCGAUAAGUAAUGUGAAUUGCAGAAUUCAGUGAAUCAUCGAGUCUUUGAACGCACAUUGCGCCCCCUGGCAUUCCGGGGGGCAUGCCUGUCCGAGCGUCAUUGCUGCCCUUCAAGCCCGGCUUGUGUGUUGGGUCGUCGUCCCCCCCGGGGGACGGGCCCGAAAGGCAGCGGCGGCACCGCGUCCGGUCCUCGAGCGUAUGGGGCUUUGUCACCCGCUCGAUUAGGGCCGGCCGGGCGCCAGCCGGCGUCUCCAACCUUUUAUUUUACCAGGUUGACCUCGGAUCAGGUAGGGAUACCCGCUGAACUUAAGCAUAUCAAU
RNAcentral lists this ribosomal RNA (488 nucleotides) under Aspergillus ustus. Its description in RNAcentral is "eukaryotic LSU rRNA". The stretch from base 115 to 268 matches the Rfam family "5.8S ribosomal RNA". The record is from RNAcentral. Lineage: Eukaryota; Fungi; Ascomycota; Eurotiomycetes; Eurotiales; Aspergillaceae.